This 254-nucleotide ribosomal RNA is filed under the name uncultured bacterium. RNAcentral describes it as "partial 16S ribosomal RNA". It matches the Rfam family "Bacterial small subunit ribosomal RNA", at positions 524 to 776 of the family's 1533-position model. The record is from RNAcentral.
CACGUAGGGGGCGAGCGUUGUCCGGAUUUAUUGGGCGUAAAGAGCUCGUAGGCGGCUCGGUAAGUCAGGUGUGAAAACUCUAGGCUCAACCUAGAGACGCCACCUGAUACUGCCGUGGCUAGAGUCCGGUAGGGGAGACUGGAAUUCCUGGUGUAGCGGUGAAAUGCGCAGAUAUCAGGAGGAACACCGGUGGCGAAGGCGGGUCUCUGGGCCGAUACUGACGCUGAGGAGCGAAAGCGUGGGGAGCGAACAGG